Molecule: ribosomal RNA, 250 nt
Filed under: uncultured bacterium
Lineage: Bacteria
Description: partial 16S ribosomal RNA
Rfam family: Bacterial small subunit ribosomal RNA
Source: RNAcentral
UACGAAGGGGCUAGCGUUGUUCGGAUUUACUGGCGUAAGCGCACGUAGGCGGAUCGUUAAGUCGGGGGUGAAAUCCUGGAGCUCAACUCCAGAACUGCCUUCGAUACUGUAGAGCUUGAGUUCGGGAGAGGUGAGUGGAACUGCGAGUGUAGAGGUGAAAUUCGUAGAUAUUCGCAAGAACACCAGUGGCGAAGGCGGCUCACUGGCCCGAUACUGACGCUGAGGUGCGAAAGCGUGGGGAGCGAACAGG